RNAcentral lists this ribosomal RNA (437 nucleotides) under uncultured bacterium. RNAcentral's name for it is "bacterial SSU rRNA". It matches the Rfam family "Bacterial small subunit ribosomal RNA", at positions 335 to 761 of the family's 1533-position model. The record is from RNAcentral.
ACUCCGUACGGGAGGCAGCAGGAUGGGGAAUAAUUGGCACAAUGGGCGCAAGCCUGAUGCAGCCAUGCCGCGUGUGUGAAGAAGGCCUUCGGGUUGUAAAGCACUUUCAGUCGUGAGGAAGGUAGUGUAGUUAAUAGCUGCAUUAUUUGACGUUAGCGACAGAAGAAGCACCGGCUAACUCCGUGCCAGCAGCCGCGGUAAUACGGAGGGUGCGAGCGUUAAUCGGAAUUACUGGGCGUAAAGCGCAUGCAGGUGGUUUGUUAAGUCAGAUGUGAAAGCCCGGGGCUCAACCUCGGAAUUGCAUUUGAAACUGGCAGACUAGAGUACUGUAGAGGGGGGUAGAAUUCAGGUGUAGCGGUGAAAUGCGUAGAGAUCUGAAGGAAUACCGGUGGCGAAGGCGGCCCCUGGACAGAUACUGACACUCAGAUGCGAAAGCG